GCUCCCGUAGUCUAAUGGAUAGAACGGUAGCCUCCUAAGCCACUAAUCCGGGUCCGAUUCCCGGCGGGAGCA
RNAcentral lists this transfer RNA (72 nucleotides) under Lachnospiraceae bacterium. RNAcentral's name for it is "tRNA-Arg". It matches the Rfam family "tRNA". Rfam says of the family: Transfer RNA (tRNA) molecules are approximately 80 nucleotides in length. Lineage: Bacteria; Bacillati; Bacillota; Clostridia; Lachnospirales; Lachnospiraceae. The record is from RNAcentral.